This 1900-nucleotide ribosomal RNA is filed under the name Rhipicephalus microplus (southern cattle tick). RNAcentral describes it as "SSU rRNA". It matches the Rfam family "Eukaryotic small subunit ribosomal RNA". The record is from RNAcentral. Lineage: Eukaryota; Metazoa; Arthropoda; Arachnida; Ixodida; Ixodidae.
CCUGGUUGAUCCUGCCAGUAAUCAUAUGCUUGUCUCAAAGAUUAAGCCAUGCAUGUCUAAGUACAUGCCGAAAUAAGGCGAAACCGCGAAUGGCUCAUUAAAUCAGUUAUGGUUCCUUAGAUCGUUUCUUCCUACUUGGAUAACUGUGGCAAUUCUAGAGCUAAUACAUGCAGUGAGCCUGGAGCCCUUUGGGUAACGGGUGCUUUUAUUAGACCAAGAUCGAUCGGGUUUCGGCCCGUAUUGUGUGGUGACUCUGGAUAACUUUGUGCUGAUCGCAUGGCCCCGAGCCGGAGCCGGCCGUUUUCUUUCAAGUUGUUUCCUGGCCCCCUUUAUCAAAACCAUUUCGAUGGGGUAAAGGCGUACUUGGGGCCCUUUACCCAUUGGUUCGUUACCGGUGAUAACGGAGAUCAGGGGUUUGAUUCCGGAGAGGAGGCCUGAGAAACGGGCGGGGCUACAUCCAAGGAAGGCAGCAGGCGCGCAAAUUACCCACUCCCGGCACGGGGAGGUAGUGACGAAAAAUAACAAUACGGGACUCUUUUGAGGCCCCGUAAUUGAAAUGAGUACACUCUAAAUCCUUUAACGAGGGUCACCAAUUGGAGGGGCGGUUUUUGGUGCCAAGGAGGGGCCGCGGGUAAUUCGGCUAUAGUAUACUAAAGCUGCUGCGGUUAAAAAGCUCGUAGUUGGAUCUCAGUUCCAGACGAGUAGUGCAUCUACCCGAUGCGACGGCUCGGACUGAACAUCAUGCCGGUUCUUUCUUGGUGCACUUCAUUGUGUGCCUCGAGAUGGCCGGUGCUUUUACUUUGAAAAAAUUAGAGUGCUCAACGCAGGCGAGCCUGAAUAAACUUGCAUGGAAUAAUAGAACAAGACCUCGUUUCUGUUCUGUUGGUUUUUGGAAUACGAGGUAAUGAUUAAGAGGGACGGACGGGGGCAUUCGUAUUGCGGCGCUAGAGGUGAAAUUCUUGGACCGUCGCAAGACGAACUACUGCGAAAGCAUUUGCCAAGAAUGUUUUCAUUGAUCAAGAACGAAAGUCAGAGGUUCGAAGGCGAUCAGAUACCGCCCUAGUUCUGACCAUAAACGAUGCCAACCAGCGAUCCGCCUGAGUUACUCAAAUGACUCGGCGGGCAGCUUCCGGGAAACCAAAGUAUUUGGGUUCCGGGGGAAGUAUGGUUGCAAAGCUGAAACUUAAAGGAAUUGACGGAAGGGCACCACCAGGAGUGGAGCCUGCGGCUUAAUUUGACUCAACACGGGAAAACUUACCCGGCCCGGACACUGGGAGGAUUGACAGAUUGAGAGCUCUUUCUUGAUUCGGUGGAUGGUGGUGCAUGGCCGUUCUUAGUUGGUGGAGCGAUUUGUCUGGUUAAUUCCGAUAACGAACGAGACUCUAGCCUAUUAAAGGUGCGGGGUUCCCAGCACCUUACAACCUUCUUAGAGGGACAAGCGGCUCCUAGCCCCGGCCACCCACCGGAAAACAGAGCCAAUAAAAGGGAGGUUACUGUGGGAUUGCCCCCUUUCAGAUGUUUCCCGGGGCCCGGGGCCACAACGACCCGGGCGCUCCACUGAAGGGAAAGGCCGGGGCGUUGUCCUUUUUAUUCCCUGUCUGGAAAAAAGGAUGGGGUAACCCCCGGGGAACUUCUUUCGUGAUUGGGAUAGGGGCUUGCAAUUGUUCCCCUUGAACGAGGAAUUCCCAGUAAGCGCGAGUCAUAAGCUCGCGUUGAUUACGUCCCUGCCCUUUGUACACACCGCCCGUCGCUACUACCGAUUGAAUGAUUUAGUGAGGUCUUCGGACCGAUGUCCGGCGCGGCCUUUCGGUUGCGCCGGUCUGUUGGAAAGAUGACCAAACUUGAUCAUUUAGAGGAAGUAAAAGUCGUAACAAGGUUUCCGUAGGUGAACCUGCGGAAG